AGUCUAUGGUGUGGGCAGAAUUGCAGUAGGUCGUUGUACCUCUCCCAAGUGUCGUACAUCGACUCAUAGUUAAACUGUACAAAAGAAGAUAUGUUAUUUCUAAGUUU
Molecule: non-coding RNA, 107 nt
Organism: Ricinus communis (castor bean)
Lineage: Eukaryota; Viridiplantae; Streptophyta; Magnoliopsida; Malpighiales; Euphorbiaceae
Source: Rfam